RNAcentral lists this ribosomal RNA (615 nucleotides) under uncultured bacterium. Its description in RNAcentral is "bacterial SSU rRNA". It matches the Rfam family "Bacterial small subunit ribosomal RNA", at positions 202 to 836 of the family's 1533-position model. The record is from RNAcentral.
AAAAACUGAGGUAGUAUAAGAUGGACCCGCGUCUGAUUAGCUAGUUGGUGGGGUAACGGCCUACCAAGGCGACGAUCAGUAGCCGGCCUGAGAGGGUGACCGGCCACAUUGGGACUGAGACACGGCCCAAACUCCUACGGGAGGCAGCAGUGGGGAAUAUUGCACAAUGGGGGAAACCCUGAUGCAGCGACGCCGCGUGAGUGAAGAAGUAUUUCGGUAUGUAAAGCUCUAUCAGCAGGGAAGAAAAAAGACGGUACCUGACUAAGAAGCCCCGGCUAACUACGUGCCAGCAGCCGCGGUAAUACGUAGGGGGCAAGCGUUAUCCGGAUUUACUGGGUGUAAAGGGAGCGUAGACGGUAUGGCAAGUCUGAAGUGAAAGCCCAGGGCUUAACCCUGGGACUGCUUUGGAAACUGUUAGACUAGAGUGCUGGAGAGGUAAGUGGAAUUCCUAGUGUAGCGGUGAAAUGCGUAGAUAUUAGGAGGAACACCAGUGGCGAAGGCGGCUUACUGGACAGUAACUGACGUUGAGGCUCGAAAGCGUGGGGAGCAAACAGGAUUAGAUACCCUGGUAGUCCACGCUGUAAACGAUGAAUACUAGGUGUUGGCGGGCAAAGC